UAGGGAAUCUUCGGCAAUGGACGAAAGUCUGACCGAGCAACGCCGCGUGAGUGAAGAAGGUCCUCGGAUCGUAAAACUCUGUUGUUAGAGAAGAACAAGGACGUUAGUAACUGAACGUCCCCUGACGGUAUCUAACCAGAAAGCCACGGCUAACUACGUGCCAGCAGCCGCGGUAAUACGUAGGUGGCAAGCGUUGUCCGGUUUUAUUGGGCGUAAAGCGAGCGCAGGCGGUUUCUUAAGUCUGAUGUGAAAGCCCCCGGCUCAACCGGGGAGGGUCAUUGGAAGCUGGUAGACUUGAGUGCAGAAGAGGAGAGUGGAAUUCCAUGUGUAGCGGUGAAAUUCGUAGAUAUAUGGAGGAACACCAGUUGCGAAGGCGGCUCUCUGGUCUGUAACUGACGCUGAGGCUCGAAAGCGUGGGGAGCAAACAGG
This 429-nucleotide ribosomal RNA is filed under the name Gemmatimonadota bacterium. RNAcentral describes it as "Gemmatimonadetes bacterium partial 16S ribosomal RNA". It matches the Rfam family "Bacterial small subunit ribosomal RNA", at positions 355 to 776 of the family's 1533-position model. The record is from RNAcentral. Lineage: Bacteria; Pseudomonadati; Gemmatimonadota.